Long non-coding RNA from Galeopterus variegatus (Sunda flying lemur), 403 nucleotides. RefSeq lists it as uncharacterized. The transcript is spliced from 2 exons. NCBI's taxonomy places the organism in Eukaryota, Metazoa, Chordata, Mammalia, Dermoptera, Cynocephalidae. The record is from RefSeq and is a predicted model, not a curated record.
UGUUUUUAUGUGUGCUAAAUUCAUAUAAGUUUGCAUUUAGUUUGUAUUAAAUGUCAAAUUCUCAUAUUUCUUAGCAGUUUAGAUGUCUGCCCUUGUCUUUCCGUGGGAGGCCUGCAGCACAGGGAUCGGCGCACAGCAGGCCCAGGCUGGUGCCAGUGCUGGGAGUUUGUCUGGACUCUCGAAGCUUCUGAUUCCUCAUCUCCACGGUGCAGGAAACCAAGGACCCACUUCGAAGGCUCGUCCUGAGGGAUCUGUUAAGGCCGAUGGAACUCUCACACGGUCAAACUGGCUGUUGUAAUUAUCAUUAUUUUGGGGAAAUGUUCAUCUCUGCUCUUGCUGUUGACAAUACUACUUUUGUGGGAAAGUAAAAUAGCUCAGCCUCAAAAUAUAUUUCUUUGACGUA